AGAGAAAGAGACGCCCGGAAGGGGGUCCUUGCGCGAGGUGGUCCUUAGGACCUUUGUGCUGUCGUUUAUGAUAUGUUUUUUUGGUAUAAGGCAAAAUAUAAGGCCAAGACAGUCUCAUAGCUCAGCUGGUUAGAGCGCUACACUGAUAAUGUAGAGGUCGGCAGUUCGAGUCUGCCUGAGACUACGAAGGAAGUUCAUUGAGAAAAGAUAUUGGAAAUUUUAGAAGUUGAGUUACAGGGUUAUCACUCAUAACUCCCAACUAAUAACUCAUAACUGAAAAAUGGGGGAUUAGCUCAGCUGGCUAGAGCGCCUGCCUUGCACGCAGGAGGUCAUCGGUUCGACUCCGAUAUUCUCCACCACGGCAAUUGGCCGUCCACGGUGAUAUUAUCGCCAGUGGCGGUCCGCCACAAGUUCAUUGACAUAUUGGGACGGAGCAAGGGACGACAUAGGUCGUUUCAUUGCGAAGUCAAAGAAGAAACACGAAGUAGAAUAGAACAUUAAGGAUUACGAGAGGGCAUUUGUACUUAGGUACAGGUGC
Molecule: transfer RNA, 538 nt
Filed under: uncultured Flavobacteriaceae bacterium
Lineage: Bacteria; Pseudomonadati; Bacteroidota; Flavobacteriia; Flavobacteriales; Flavobacteriaceae
Description: 16S-23S ribosomal RNA intergenic spacer
Rfam family: tRNA (bases 111-184)
Source: RNAcentral